This 1344-nucleotide ribosomal RNA is filed under the name Triticum aestivum (bread wheat). RNAcentral's name for it is "partial small subunit ribosomal RNA". Lineage: Eukaryota; Viridiplantae; Streptophyta; Magnoliopsida; Poales; Poaceae. The record is from RNAcentral.
AUGCUGAUUCAUUCUACUGGAUUGGUCACAUCUGCUGCUUCCGAUCUGUUGCUUGGUGCUAGUCCGUCUGUGCUAUCGUCCCCUGUGGCGACUCUCGCACGUGGUGAUUGUCGCUCUACAUCGACUCUUCCUGCGACUUUCAUUAGUGAUUAUCGUUCUACACUGGCUCCUCUCACGGCCCCCAUCGGAUGUGUUGAUGCAUAUGACUCUAUUGACCCGCGUCUUCCUUUGGCACUUGGGGCUUGUCUGCAUGUGCCCUCGUCUCCUUCACCGGCCUCUACGGAUGAUGUUGGUUACGCUAUGUCGCCUCCUCUGGCGGCUUCCACAGGUGGUGGUGGGCCUGGUGGCCGCUCCUCUUCUAGUGCUACUGCGUCGUCUACUUCAGCUAUGUACUUCACCGAGCAGGAGAUUGUGGGACUUCGUGGUCUGCUGACCGCCUCCGGCUCUUCAUUGCCGGCUGCAUCUACGUCGACCUCUUCAGUUGAGCUCCUGACUGAGCAGGAGAUUACGCGCCUUCGGUGCUUGCUCGCUGCAUGCUCUGGUUCUUCACCGACGGGUUCUGCUGGUUCUGCUACUGACUCCUCUGGCAUUGUGAGACCACCUUCAACACAGUCAGGUACAUCUCCAUGGAUUCUUGAUACUGGAGCAUCUUUUCAUAUGACUCAUGAUUCAUCCACCUUGUCUUCUAUUCGUGCUCUUGAUUCUCCUAUUCAUGUUCUUACUGCUGAUGGUACCUCCCUCCCGGUUAAUGGUCGAGGCAUUCUUAGCACCUCAUCUUUUCAUGUUCCUGAUGUUGCUCAUGUUCCUCGACUUACCAUGCAGCUCCUUUCUGGUGGUCAGAUUGUUGACUCCGGUUGUCGGGUGAUUCUAGACUUUGACACUUGUUCUGUUCUGGACCGUCACACUGGUGCUCUCCUUGGUGCUGGCCCCCGACACCGUGACUCUCAGGGUCUCUGGGAGCUUGACAGGCUUCACCUUCCCUCCGCUGCCACCGCCGCCAGUCUUUCCCCCACUGUUGCCUUGUCUACCAGCUCUUUUCAGCAGUGGCAUCAUCGCCUUGGUCACCUGUGUGGCUCUCGUCUCUCAUCCUUAGUUCGACGUGGUCUUCUUGGAUCUGUCUCCGGCGGUGUGUCUUUAGACUGUCAGGGUUGUCGGCUUGGUAAACAGGUCCAGUUACCUUAUCCUCAUAGUGACACUAUGUCUCAGCAUCCUUUUGACCUUGUUCACUCUGAUGUCUGGGGUCCAACUCCAUUUGCCUCGAAAGGAGGUCAUCGCUACUAUAUUAUUUUUAUAGAUGAUUUCUCUCGAUACACCUGGAUAUAUUUUAUGUCUUCUCGUAGUUAG